GCAACUAUAAUCCUUAAAUUUUUAAAAAAAUUACAAAAAAUCAUAAAUUCUCAACCACCACCAUUUUCACAACCUAUCAAGCUGCCAACUAUAAAUCCACAUAAUUCCACCUUUCGGCCACCAUGCCCACCGGACUCCACCAUCGUAAAUGUGGUUGUUUCGGACAGAUUGGUGACCAAUACUAUGGAGGAGGAUAUUGGGGAGAGUGAGGCGACGCUGGUGGUGGUGGAGUCCUAUGUGUUGUGGUCGAAAAGUGGUGCUAUAUGGAUCUAUAGGUGGUGGCUUGGUGGGGUUGUAAAAGUGGCGGUAGUGGAGAAUUUAGGAUUUAUCUGUAAUGUUUUGAAAGAUUUAGAACUAUGAUUAUAAUUAAUUAAUUAUUUUUUUCUUUUCUUUUUGUUUUAUUUGAAUAGGAGAGUAAAAUCGUCAUUUUAUUGAAAAAAUGGAUGAGAAUGACCUUUUUUGCAAUGAAAGGUGAAAGGUAGGGGUGAAAAUGCUAAAAA
This 500-nucleotide long non-coding RNA is filed under the name Olea europaea (common olive). Its description in RNAcentral is "long non-coding RNA (OEUR_LNC004636)". The record is from RNAcentral. Lineage: Eukaryota; Viridiplantae; Streptophyta; Magnoliopsida; Lamiales; Oleaceae.